AGUAAGUUACUCCCAAAAAUAAUAUAUUAUGUUGCCAAAAGCAUAUGAAAGUUGUAGAACAUUGGCAUGAAAUGAUAAAAAAUUACAUAUACUAUGGAGGCGUAUCAACCCCUUGGACUAUAAAAGGAUGUCUAGGGCUACCUUCAGAAAGGUCGACUCUCUAUUGAUUCUACACGGGUAGCUGCUGCUCUCUAUCAUCCUUGUCGGGCGAGCACACAUGUACUGUGAACACACACAUAAUCCACCAGAACACAAAAUUGGCAUAGGAUUUUACGUUUCCGAGCAUCCCGAACCUAUCUAAACCACCGUGCAUCCAGCUGUCGGUGAUGCUCUUUGUGCACCCAUAGUCCCCGUAGAACUGUAGCGAAGGGGCCUUGCCGUCCCAUAGAUCGUCGGAUCGUCCCGGCAUACAUUGUAAAUUCAAAGAGAAAAGACAUAAGAAUUGUAUCAUAAUGUGGAAUAAUUACCAUGAAUAACAUGUCAAUAGGAAAUCAUGAUGCAGAAUGGACAUACAACGUCAAUGACCAAAAAUAAAGCAAUAAUAUCGAUAAUGGUUCCUUCGACGACAUUGUGCCUAAUAGGUAAGAAGAAGACCUUGCACACGUUGAAUAAUACCUAGAGUCCCAGGAAGAUUUAAGGUUCAGACCUAAU
This 651-nucleotide long non-coding RNA is filed under the name Hordeum vulgare. RNAcentral describes it as "long non-coding RNA (HVUL_LNC004277)". The record is from RNAcentral. Lineage: Eukaryota; Viridiplantae; Streptophyta; Magnoliopsida; Poales; Poaceae.